UACGUAGGGGGCGAGCGUUGUCCGGAUUUAUUGGGCGUAAAGAGCGUGUAGGCGGCCAGAUAGGUCUGCUGUGAAAACUCGAGGCUUAACCUCGAGAUGUCGGCGGAAACCAUCUGGCUAGAGUCCGGAAGAGGAGAGUGGAAUUCCUGGUGUAGCGGUGAAAUGCGCAGAUAUCAGGAAGAACACCCGUGGCGAAGGCGGCUCUCUGGGACGGUACUGACGCUGAGACGCGAAAGCGUGGGGAGCGAACAGG
RNAcentral lists this ribosomal RNA (253 nucleotides) under uncultured bacterium. Its description in RNAcentral is "partial 16S ribosomal RNA". It matches the Rfam family "Bacterial small subunit ribosomal RNA", at positions 524 to 776 of the family's 1533-position model. The record is from RNAcentral.